UGGGGAAUAUUGGACAAUGGGGGCAACCCUGAUCCAGCCAUGCCGCGUGUGUGAAGAAGGCCUUUUGGUUGUAAAGCACUUUAAGCGAGGAGGAGGGUACUCUAGCUAAUACCUAGAUGUAUCGGACGUUACUCGCAGAAUAAGCACCGGCUAACUCUGUGCCAGCAGCCGCGGUAAUACAGAGGGUGCGAGCGUUAAUCGGAAUUACUGGGCGUAAAGCGCGCGUAGGCGGUUUGUUAAGUCGGAUGUGAAAUCCCCGGGCUCAACCUGGGAACUGCAUUCGAUACUGGCAGACUAGAGUAUGGGAGAGGAUGGUAGAAUUCCAGGUGUAGCGGUGAAAUGCGUAGAGAUCUGGAGGAAUACCGAUGGCGAAGGCAGCCAUCUGGCCUAAUACUGACGC
Molecule: ribosomal RNA, 400 nt
Filed under: uncultured bacterium
Lineage: Bacteria
Description: bacterial SSU rRNA
Rfam family: Bacterial small subunit ribosomal RNA
Source: RNAcentral